UCUUCAUCCACAUCAUGUCGAACCCAUUGAUGUUGUGUACUAGUACUAGGGAUAUUUUCAUCUAAGUUUUGUUCUGGAAAAGGUAAUGUUUCUGAUCUUUCGAUGAUGUCAUCUCUACUUCCAUUACCCAUGUCAAACAAGUCUCUAGGGGUGUUCCGGAGUACAACAUACCAACCCUCAUCAGUUGGAUCUUUCGAAUAAAAAAC
RNAcentral lists this long non-coding RNA (206 nucleotides) under Gossypium barbadense (sea-island cotton). RNAcentral describes it as "long non-coding RNA (GBAR_LNC010551)". Lineage: Eukaryota; Viridiplantae; Streptophyta; Magnoliopsida; Malvales; Malvaceae. The record is from RNAcentral.